UAUAGCUCAAUGGUAUAGCGCCUGCUUGGCAAGCACAAGGUCCUGAGUUUGAUUCUUGGUA
This 61-nucleotide transfer RNA is filed under the name Cavia porcellus (domestic guinea pig). It matches the Rfam family "tRNA", at positions 6 to 65 of the family's 71-position model. Rfam says of the family: Transfer RNA (tRNA) molecules are approximately 80 nucleotides in length. Their secondary structure includes four short double-helical elements and three loops (D, anti-codon, and T loops). The record is from Rfam by way of RNAcentral. Lineage: Eukaryota; Metazoa; Chordata; Mammalia; Rodentia; Caviidae.